RNAcentral lists this microRNA precursor (62 nucleotides) under Tribolium castaneum (red flour beetle). Its description in RNAcentral is "microRNA tca-mir-11650 precursor". Lineage: Eukaryota; Metazoa; Arthropoda; Insecta; Coleoptera; Tenebrionidae. The record is from miRBase by way of RNAcentral.
CCCGAAAACGUCCUCGAAGUAACGGCACGCGCCAUCACUUACUACCUGGACGUCUCGGCGGA